This 340-nucleotide long non-coding RNA is filed under the name Solanum tuberosum (potato). Its description in RNAcentral is "long non-coding RNA (STUB_LNC007205)". The record is from RNAcentral. Lineage: Eukaryota; Viridiplantae; Streptophyta; Magnoliopsida; Solanales; Solanaceae.
AUGACUAUAGGGAGUAUGUGAAUGAUCAUCGUAUGUGUUGUGUUCUUCCCUGUAACACCACUCCAACACAAUAGCUGGUUAUGUAAUGAAUGAUGUUGCAGUUGGAGUCCCAUGCUGCCAGCAAAGAAUUUCCAGAUAUGACCUGCAAAAUGUCCUUGAAGGAAGAUGUGUUCAACAUCAUCCCAUCCUUGCUGAAAACAACAGUAACAUUUCACAGGUUCCACUCUAAAAUUUGCUAAGGAUUCAUUUGUUGGUAAUUUAUAACGAAUAGCUCUCCAUAGAAGAAAGGACAUUUUAAAAGGUAUAUGUCUAUGCCAAAUUUGGGAAUUAAGGACUGCAG